This 238-nucleotide long non-coding RNA is filed under the name Elaeis guineensis (African oil palm). RNAcentral describes it as "long non-coding RNA (EGUI_LNC046253)". Lineage: Eukaryota; Viridiplantae; Streptophyta; Magnoliopsida; Arecales; Arecaceae. The record is from RNAcentral.
AGAUCACUCAAAGCCACUCGAAGGCAUCUAGUCUCUACAAAAAAUCCAUGCGAAGACUGACAUCGAUCAGGGUCCUUGGAGGUGCUAGCCUAUAAGGAACUUUGAUGGCUGAUAUCUUCCUUCUUCUUCAAACACCUUGGAUACUCCAAAGCAAUAGGAUAUCUAAAGGAGAAAGAGAGGAAGAGGAGAAGAGCUCUGAAAAAAUAAAAAUCAGCAAGGGAGGAAUUGAUGUGAUGCC